AAUCGUUAAAGAGUUUUAAUGAGUAGAGUUAGCGCACGGCUCAAACCCUUGAGCCAUUCCCCUAAGCUCGGGACUCCCUCCAAAUUGGUCCCGAGCAUUUUUUU
RNAcentral lists this small RNA (104 nucleotides) under Pseudidiomarina indica. Lineage: Bacteria; Pseudomonadati; Pseudomonadota; Gammaproteobacteria; Alteromonadales; Idiomarinaceae. The record is from RNAcentral.